Paramisgurnus dabryanus is the source of this 1003-nucleotide non-coding RNA. NCBI's taxonomy places the organism in Eukaryota, Metazoa, Chordata, Actinopteri, Cypriniformes, Cobitidae. The record is from RefSeq and is a predicted model, not a curated record.
CGCAUUUAACAUCAUUAUUAACAUGUAAAUAAUAUAAUUCGUAAACAUAACGUUUAUGUUAAUUUAUAAUAUGUUUUUUUUUUUAUUGUUGGCUUUAAGUUAAUUUGUCUGUCAGACUCAGUUUGUUCGUGUUGUAGCCUGUUAACAGUAGACCAAAGGUAUGAUGAUCAAUUAUAAAUGCAAUAUGGUUGAAAGCUUGACAAAAAUGUAGCUUGAAGGAGAAGGGACAGCUGAGUAACAAAGUCCUGGUACGCAGACGACGAUACUAUUACACUGACAAGAGUGUAAUGAUGAUGGAGACACAAGCCAGAGAAAGUGGGGACCAAACACCAGGCCAUAAUUCUGCAUGAGUCAGAUCCAGUGGGUGCAGAUCAUCAUACAGAUGGUUCAAGUGUGGAUCCACCUAAUAUUCAAGCUCCAGUGGGCAUCCUUUAUCCAUCCAGACCCUCAUACAGAUGGUUGGAGUUUUGAUUCACCUAAAGUACCAUGCAAGAGCACUCAUUUUCCCUCUUGAGACCAUGGUGUGACCUGCAAGGUUGAAUGGAGACUGUAAACGAGACAAUCUUGGAGUCACCUGCAUUCACUGGUCCAGUUGUUAGUCCAAUUACAGAUGGAGAUUAUAGUAGAGGAUGAUGUCUUUUCUCCAACAUCUUUCUAGACUAAUAAAAGAUCUAGACAGGCUCGAACAAAAGUUAACAGAGGGGCUUAUAUAGAGAAUGGUGAGCAGCUACACAUGAAAGAAGAACAUGGAGAAUCUGCCCAGAGGUGUUAACCAGCAAUGCAGCUAUACAACUAAAUUGAUGCAGGCGGAAACAAUAAUGCAGCUGCUGCAGAUGAAGAAUCUGUCCGUCUACCACUGAAGGAGACGCGGAAAAUCGGGAAAAGAUGUUCUUUGCCCGAGGAAGCAUUUGAUUAAUUUAAAGAUAGGCUAUUGUGUUUUUUUGUAUGUUAUAGAAAAACGUUGCUUUUUUGCAUAAACUCGUGUAAAUAUGCAUCUUAUGAA